This 468-nucleotide ribosomal RNA is filed under the name uncultured bacterium. RNAcentral's name for it is "partial 16S ribosomal RNA". It matches the Rfam family "Bacterial small subunit ribosomal RNA", at positions 28 to 507 of the family's 1533-position model. The record is from RNAcentral.
GAUGAACGCUGGCGGCGUGCUUAACACAUGCAAGUCGAACGGUGAAGGCGGGGCUUGCUCUGCUGGAUCAGUGGCGAACGGGUGUGUAACACGUGAGCAAACCGCCCCUGAACCUGGGAUAAGCGCUGGGAACGGCGUCUCAUACUGGAUACGAGCUGCGAAGGCAUCUUCAGCAGCUGGAAAGAAUUUCGGUAAGGGAUGAUCUCGCGGGCUAUCAGCUUGUUGGUGAGGUAAUGGCUCACGAAGGCGUCGACGGGUAGCCGGCCUGAGGGGGUGACCGGCCACACUGGGACUGAGGCAGGGCCCAGACGGGUACGGGAGGCAGCAGUGGGGAAUAUUGCGCAGUGGGGGAGAGCCUGAUGCGACGGCGCCGCGUGCGGGACGACGGCCUUCGGGUGGUGAACAACUUUUAGCAGGGAAGAGGCGAACGUGACGGUACCUGCAGAAAAAGCGCCGGCUAACUACGUG